RNAcentral lists this ribosomal RNA (660 nucleotides) under Paenibacillus sp. AR-361. Its description in RNAcentral is "bacterial SSU rRNA". It matches the Rfam family "Bacterial small subunit ribosomal RNA", at positions 87 to 734 of the family's 1533-position model. The record is from RNAcentral. Lineage: Bacteria; Bacillati; Bacillota; Bacilli; Caryophanales; Paenibacillaceae.
GAUGGUUAGCGGCGGACGGGUGAGUAACACGUAGGCAACCUGCCCUCAAGUUUGGGACAACUACCGGAAACGGUAGCUAAUACCGAAUAAUUGUUUUCUUCGCCUGAAGGAAACUGGAAAGACGGAGCAAUCUGUCACUUGGGGAUGGGCCUGCGGCGCAUUAGCUAGUUGGUGAGGUAACGGCUCACCAAGGCGACGAUGCGUAGCCGACCUGAGAGGGUGAUCGGCCACACUGGGACUGAGACACGGCCCAGACUCCUACGGGAGGCAGCAGUAGGGAAUCUUCCGCAAUGGGCGAAAGCCUGACGGAGCAAUGCCGCGUGAGUGAUGAAGGUUUUCGGAUCGUAAAGCUCUGUUGCCAGGGAAGAACGCUUGGGAGAGUAACUGCUCUCAAGGUGACGGUACCUGAGAAGAAAGCCCCGGCUAACUACGUGCCAGCAGCCGCGGUAAUACGUAGGGGGCAAGCGUUGUCCGGAAUUAUUGGGCGUAAAGCGCGCGCAGGCGGUCAUUUAAGUCUGGUGUUUAAUCCCGGGGCUCAACCCCGGAUCGCACUGGAAACUGGGUGACUUGAGUGCAGAAGAGGAGAGUGGAAUUCCACGUGUAGCGGUGAAAUGCGUAGAUAUGUGGAGGAACACCAGUGGCGAAGGCGACUCUCUGGGC